Molecule: ribosomal RNA, 563 nt
Filed under: uncultured bacterium
Lineage: Bacteria
Description: partial 16S ribosomal RNA
Rfam family: Bacterial small subunit ribosomal RNA
Source: RNAcentral
UGGGGAAUUUUGGACAAUGGGCGAAAGCCUGAUCCAGCAAUGCCGCGUGUGUGAAGAAGGCCUUCGGGUUGUAAAGCACUUUUGUCCGGAAAGAAAUCCUUGGCUCUAAUACAGUCGGGGGAUGACGGUACCGGAAGAAUAAGCACCGGCUAACUACGUGCCAGCAGCCGCGGUAAUACGUAGGGUGCAAGCGUUAAUCGGAAUUACUGGGCGUAAAGCGUGCGCAGGCGGUUUGCUAAGACCGAUGUGAAAUCCCCGGGCUCAACCUGGGAACUGCAUUGGUGACUGGCAGGCUAGAGUAUGGCAGAGGGGGGUAGAAUUCCACGUGUAGCAGUGAAAUGCGUAGAGAUGUGGAGGAAUACCGAUGGCGAAGGCAGCCCCUGGCCAAUACUGACGCUCAUGCACGAAAGCGUGGGGAGCAAAACAGGAUUAGAUACCCCUGGUAGUCCACGCCCUAAACGAUGUCAACUAGUUGUUGGGGAUUCAUUUCCUUAGUAACUAGCUAACGCGUGAAGUUGACCGCCUGGGGAGUACGGUCGCAAGAUUAAAACUUAAAUGAAUUG